GGCACAUGGCACAUGGCUCUUGAAUAACAUCCGAUGUGUCUCUCUUGUUUAUAAGAAUUUAAAACCCAUUCAAAGAUUGUGAUUUAUGCGUCCCUGGGGCUGUGAACCAGAAUGAAAGAGCCCAGGACAUUGAUGAAGACAAGGAAAGAAGACACCUGAGAAGAACCAGAAAUAUAAAAGUGACAGGUUGGAAUACAACCAUUUGGGACAUUUUUUUUGUAGAUGAAAGUUUAUUUUACUGUAGAAAUGUAAUGAUCUUUAACUCAAUAUAUCAACAACAAAUGUAAACUUA
Molecule: long non-coding RNA, 292 nt
Organism: Penaeus indicus
Lineage: Eukaryota; Metazoa; Arthropoda; Malacostraca; Decapoda; Penaeidae
Exons: 2
Source: RefSeq, a predicted model, not a curated record